Molecule: long non-coding RNA, 2347 nt
Organism: Acinonyx jubatus (cheetah)
Lineage: Eukaryota; Metazoa; Chordata; Mammalia; Carnivora; Felidae
Exons: 3
Source: RefSeq, a predicted model, not a curated record
UGGGAGCGAGGGACUUGGAGUCGGACAGACCCCAGUUCACACGCUGUCCCCACUCCUUACUAGCUGUGUGACUCUGGAUGGGCCACGCACGGAACCUCUGUGGGACCCAGGCUUCUCGUUUGUGAAAAUAGUAACCGCACGUAGCUGUCGAUCAGAGUGUCUGUUCAGCAAGAGAAAAGGCAGGGGGUCUCAUGCCGGGUCCCCAUCACUCCGGCCCACAGCGUGAGGUUGUCGGUGGCCCGGCAGCUCUACGUGGGGAAGUAUCCAGCUAAUAAGUGGAUGAACCGGAAGGCCCUGGGAGGCAGUCUGUCAUGAAGAAGGGUUCAGGACCUCUCAGAAAGAAGGAGGUCAUUGCUGAGUACAGCCUGCUCCUUUUACAGAUGGGAAGACUCGCGCCCAGCGAGGGCAGAGCCAGGAGGACUCAAGACCAGGCUUUCUAGCUCCUGCCUCCCCAGGAAGGCCAGCCCCCGGUUCCUUAUGACCUAUCUCUUGCCCUCAGCUCUGGUGAAUAGCUUCCAGGAGGGCGGGGCAACCCUCCUCCCUGCCAGGGAGCUAGAGACCAGGGUGGAAGUCUCUCAGCAGGAUCCUGUUUGGACCCAGGAGGCUGCAGCCCCACCAGGACAGCAGAAGCAGAACAGGGGUUUUGUCCUUCCCGACAGCCUGUGUGUCGGCUGUUCCCGGCCGGGACUCAGCUGGGCUCAGCUGGCUGGCACAGAGAAGCCUUGUUUCCUUGAAUACAAAACCGGCAGCUUUCUCUCUCCCCGCCAGGGACCCCCCACCACUGCGGGCGGCACUUCCUUCCCUAGAAGGGCAGCUCCCUGGCCCCUUCCUGCCCCCUACACCGGCGGUCAGUCGUGCCAAGAGCUGGUUUGCAGGGGUGUUGGGAGGGCUUAAGUUCCCCCCUAACUUCAUCAACAUCAACCUUGUCAAACUAACACCCAAAAGCAGCCUCUCUAGCAAGUGAGUCCGCCUGCAAAUGCAGCUUCAAGGCCAUUGCUCUGAUCCCGCGCCCUUCUGAUCAAGCCGCAGCCUCCCAGGUCCCAGAUCAUUUUGGGGGUGCAUGGGUUCUCCCAAACAGCUCCGUCCUUUUUUUUUUUUUUUUUCUGGCGGGGUGUAGGAAUGCUGUGGAAGCCCAAGAGGAGGAGGAUUCUGGGAGAGAGACACGGGACGGUGGUGGGUCCACAAGGUGGAAAAUCAGCCACGCACAUGGAAGGGGGUGUUGGCAAAGUGCAUUUUCCCACACGGAAGCAGAUGUUUGUGAUGGAAAACCCAGAAGGAGGAACGUGGUUUUUAGAGUCAUAGACCUGAGUUCAGAUCCUGGCUCCGUCAUUUUCUAGCUGUGUGGUCUCGGCAAGUUAUUUAACUCUUCCGUGCCCAGACUGCUCAGCUGUGCCACGGUGGUGAUACUUCUAGUCGUGGGGAUGCUGGGUGGAAUCGAGGAGUUAGUACCUAGCCACUAUUGACGCAGGGAUCAUGGCUGCAUUUAAACGAUCUCCCCCCCCCCCCCCCCCCCCCCCGCCCCGAACUCCCUGCCCCCAAGGCAGGGGGCAGGCUCAACAGGGAAAUUCCAGACAGUGAAGCUAUCUAUACCUAGCCCUGGGCUCAAGGAGCUUUCUAUCAGUUUGGGUUGGAAUCCUGGAAAUCCUGCUCUCCAGAUGGUGCCAGCCUUUGGCGAGGAAGAAACUUUAGAAGAACUCCCGACAAAGACCCUGGAGUCAAAGAAGCAGGCUCCUCAGGGCCCGGAGGAGGGUUAAGGACUCAGUCCCCCGCCCCAGGCUGACCCUUGGAGAAGUAUGGGGCUCUCAGCCAUCCAGGUCUGGGAAACAAAGCCCUCUUCCCCUGUGUUGGGGCCAAAGGCAGAAGCAGCAGCAGCAUCGAGAAGUGGGAAAGAGCCUUUCUCAAGCUGUAGGGGUUGCAAAACACCCUGUUUUUGGGCUUCCUGCUUGGGCGCACAGCCCCAUCCUGCCCUGCCAAGGUGUGCCAGCACCUCUCCACUCCAGACCAUACCCUGGGCUGUUCCCCCACCAGAAAAGGGGCUGGGCAACAACAGGUGGGGAAGGGUACCAAAGGGAAGGGGGCUGAGCGCUUUCACAACACUCUACCACUAGCGCCCCCCCCCUGCCCCCCCCCCCCCCCACUGUGGUUGUGAAGAGGUUGACUGUCCGUCUCAGUCCCAACUGGAUGUUCUCAGGGAUGGACCAGAAGGGGACCAUUUAGUCCCUUCACAGAGGUUUUAAGUGUUUUUUUUGGGGGGGGGGUGGGAGGGCUGAGCCGCAGGCCUGGGGGUGCCUGUUCAAUCUGCUAAGGGCACAAUGUGUGGAAUUAGAGGAAAAGGGAGGGGUGAGAA